RNAcentral lists this transfer-messenger RNA (397 nucleotides) under Flavobacteriales. Its description in RNAcentral is "PHOS-HE28 sp002396605 Standard tmRNA". It matches the Rfam family "transfer-messenger RNA". From Rfam's summary of the family: Bacterial tmRNA, also known as 10Sa RNA or SsrA, is named for its dual tRNA and mRNA-like properties. Its role is to liberate the mRNA from a stalled ribosome. RNAcentral also lists the same sequence under 1 other name. The record is from RNAcentral. Lineage: Bacteria; Pseudomonadati; Bacteroidota; Flavobacteriia.
GGGGCCGACAUGGUUUCGACAGCGGCUACGUGGUGCGUGUAAGCAUGCAGAGCGGUGGGGAACGGCUCUUCAAAACGAUCUCCAAGCCCUAACAGGCAACACUGAGUACGCACUUGCUGCUUAAUAGCCCAAGGCUAUGAAGCUUUACCCCGUGAACAACAGUAGCGGGGGCAAGUAUCCUUCGGGGAGGCCCGCAACCCUCCUUCCCGGCCCAAGGAUAUCAUCAUGGGAAGCUGGUCAGCGCGGUGGUCCGUAGCGCUGAUGAGACAACAGGACCUAAGCUGUCAGUAGGGUGUCCUUCCCCGGCUGGCUUUCGAAAACCAACGGAGGAAGAAGCAUGUGGAAAGCUCGUGUUGCGGUCGUUUGGACGAGGGUUCGAAUCCCUCCGGCUCCACCA